GACUUCCCUUCCGCCCGCGCAACCCACCCUCCGCGAGUGGAGGGGUGGACACCUGCUCAACAGAGAAUUCGAUUUUGCAAACAUUUAUUGAGCGCCCUCCAGGUGCCAGGCGCUGUGCCAGGGGCCGGGGCUUCAAAGACGACCAAGGCACAGAUCCUGGGUUUGAAGAUCUCCAGAGGUGGGGCGGGGGGCCGGUCGGAUGCGAGGGCAACUCGCUGUAACAAUGCAACGCGCUGGGAAAGAUUUAUCGGUGCACGCUGCCCUGGGGACGCGGAGCAGGGGAGGAGAAGUCAGGCUGGAGAGGAGGGGGACUCCAUUCUGCCCGGCUGCAGGGGAGUGAGGCUACAUAGCAGAGGCGAGCAGCAUCCAGGGGCUUUACUGGAAAAAGAGCUCUGAAAUGGCCAUGACGAUAACUGACUUAUAUUGUGCUGUCUCCAUGCCCAGGUACUCCUCAGAUCACUUCCCUUCACAGUAGUUCCUGAUAUCAAGACCAUUCUUAUUUUGGUUCUGCAAUUGAGGAAACUGAGGUUCCUGGUGAAAGAAUGUGUAUAGGGGAGAGCAUAGGAACUGCUGGGGAGAAGAGACUUUACCAAGCAUGCUCUGGAAAAAAAGAGAAUGCCAACGAUCCUUGAAGAGGUGACAGAGAGAAUCUGCUUCAGGCUACAGGAGGAUUCAAGUCUGCGAUGGAGAAACCACCAAUUCACUUUUUCAAAUGCCAAAACAACUCCGCAGGCGUGGAGGAGACCUAUCUUGCAGCGCUGUAGGCCCAAGGCACCAGGGAAUCCGGUCCAGCUCAGCCCUACAGCUUUGCUCAGCCCCGUCUGCACCGCCGCCCCGUGGCCAAGGGCAGUACUGCGUCCUCCAAAAGGCAAGGGCGGAGGAGGGGCCAGGGGCCUUGCCCCAGGGGC
This 908-nucleotide long non-coding RNA is filed under the name Homo sapiens (human). Its description in RNAcentral is "HSALNT0389976". Lineage: Eukaryota; Metazoa; Chordata; Mammalia; Primates; Hominidae. The record is from RNAcentral.